Molecule: ribosomal RNA, 1825 nt
Filed under: Corixidea sp. UCR ENT 00120065
Lineage: Eukaryota; Metazoa; Arthropoda; Insecta; Hemiptera; Schizopteridae
Description: SSU rRNA
Rfam family: Eukaryotic small subunit ribosomal RNA
Source: RNAcentral
GUAGUCAUAUGCUUGUCUCAAAGCUUAAGCCAUGCAUGUCUAUGUACAAACCAAAUUAAGGUAAAACCGCAAAAUGCUCAUUAAACUAGUUAUAGUUAACUAGAACGAUAAAAUUUAAUUGGAUAACUGUGGUAAUUCUAGAGCUAAUACAUGCAAUCAUGUUUUGCUCAGUAAUGAGAAAAACGCUUUUAUUAGAUCAAAAUCAUUCGAAUAGUUUACUAUUCGUGUUUUUGAUGACUCUGAAUAACACCACAGAUCGCAUAGUCUUAGUACUGGCGAUAUAUCUUUCAAAUGCCUGACUUAUCAACUGUCGAUGGUAGAUUAUAUGUCUACCAUGGUUAUAACGGGUAACGGGGAAUCAGGGUUCGAUUCCGGAGAGGGAGCCUGAGAAACAGCUACCACAUCCAAGGAAGGACUCCCGGCACGGGGAGGUAGUGACAAAAAAUAACGAUACGGGACUCAUCCGAGGCCCCGUAAUCGGAAUGAAUACACUUUAAAUCCUUUCAUGAGGAUCCAUUGGAGGGCAAGCCUGGUGCCAGCAGCCGCGGUAAUUCCAGCUCCAAUAGCGUAUAUUAAAGUUGUUGCGGUUAAAAAGCUCGUAGUUGGUUCUGUGUGCCAUGCUGUUGGUUCACCGCCUGUCGGUGCAACUAACAUGUCAUGGAACGUCUUGUCGGUGGUAAUUAAAGACUUAUUUUUUAGAUUCAAGUUUUACUUGAACUAUAAAUAAGUUCCUUUAAUUACCGAUUAGUUCCUACCGCGGUGCUCUUCAUUGAGUGUCGAGGUCGGCCGACAAGUUUACUUUGAACAAAUUAGAGUGCUUAAAGCAGGCAAAAGAUCUGCCUUGAAUAGUGGUGCAUGGAAUAAUAGAAUAGGACCUUGGUUCUAUUUUGCUGGUUUUCUGAGUCCAAGGUAAUGAUCAAUAUGGACAGGCGGGGGCAUUCGUAUUGCGACGUUAGAGGUGAAAUUCUUGGAUCGUCGCAAGACGAACUAGAGCGAAAGCAUUUGCCAAGUAUGUCUUAAUUGAUCAAGAACGAAAGUUAGAGGUUCGAAGGCGAUCAGAUACCGCCCUAGUUCUAACCAUAAACGAUGCCAGCUAGCGAUCCGCCGAUGUUUUUCUCAUGACUCGACGGGCAGCUACCCCGGGAAACCAAAGCUUUUGGGUUCCGGGGGAAGUAUGGUUGCAAAGCUGAAACUUAAAGGAAUUGACGGAAGGGCACCACCAGGAGUGGAGCUUGCGGUUUAAUUUGACUCAACACGGGAAACUUUAUCAGGCCCAGACAUUGGAAGGAUUGACAGAUUGAUAGCUCUUUCUUGAUUCAAUGGGUAGUGGUGCGUUGGUGGAACGAUUUGUCUGGUUAAUUCCGAUAACGAACGAGACUCUAGCAUGCUAACUAGACGCUUGGUAUUUUUGCUACCAGCGUUAUUAAUCUUCUUAGAGGGACAGGCGGCUUUUAGCCGGACGAAAUUGAGCAAUAACAGGUCAGGGAUGCCCUGAGAUGUUCUGGGCCGCACGCGUGCUACACUGAAGGAAUCAGCGUGUGUCUCCCUAUCCGAAAGGACCGGGUAACCCGCUGAACCUCCUUCGUGCUAGGAAUUAGGGCUUGCAAUUAUUCCCUAUAAACGAGGAAUUCCCAGUAAACGUGAGUCAUAAGCUCGCGUUGAUUACGUCCCUGCCCUUUGUACACACCGCCCGUCGCUACUACCGAUUGAAUGAUUUAGUGAGGUCUUCAGACUGUUAAUAAACGUAUACUGCAUCCGCAGUAUCGAUUUUAGCGGAAAGAUGACCAAACUUGAUCAUUUAGAGGAAGUAAAAGUCGUAACAAGG